RNAcentral lists this transfer RNA (57 nucleotides) under Capra hircus (goat). It matches the Rfam family "tRNA", at positions 8 to 63 of the family's 71-position model. Rfam says of the family: Transfer RNA (tRNA) molecules are approximately 80 nucleotides in length. Their secondary structure includes four short double-helical elements and three loops (D, anti-codon, and T loops). Further hydrogen bonds mediate the characteristic L-shaped molecular structure. tRNAs have two regions of fundamental functional importance: the anti-codon, which is responsible for specific mRNA codon recognition, and the 3' end, to which the tRNAs corresponding amino acid is attached (by aminoacyl-tRNA synthetases). tRNAs cope with the degeneracy of the genetic code in two manners: having more than one tRNA (with a specific anti-codon) for a particular amino acid; and 'wobble' base-pairing, i.e. permitting non-standard base-pairing at the 3rd anti-codon position. The record is from Rfam by way of RNAcentral. RNAcentral also lists the same sequence under 1 other name. Lineage: Eukaryota; Metazoa; Chordata; Mammalia; Artiodactyla; Bovidae.
UGGCUCAGACAGUAAAGCGUCUGCCUACAAUGCAGAAGACCCAGGUUCAGUUCCUGG